GAAGAGGCUGCCGGGAAACCGACUGCCUGCGGUCAGCUCCCCACUUUGUUUCUCUGAAUUUGAAAUCACGUGGAGGUCUAAACUGCGAGUUCUUCUCAGACUUCAUUUCUACAAGUCCAUUUCUACUCCACCUGGACUUUGUUUGAGACACUGCUGGACAGUGCUCUGCGUCGCCGGCUCGCGACAAGUGGCGCCCGAACAGGGACCUGGAAUUGAAGCAGCGAUCGGUGAGCAAUCCGUGAAGCCUGCUGUCAAAAAGGGUUCGGCCAAACC
This is a long non-coding RNA of Fukomys damarensis (Damara mole-rat), 273 nucleotides long. RefSeq lists it as uncharacterized. The record is from RefSeq and is a predicted model, not a curated record. NCBI's taxonomy places the organism in Eukaryota, Metazoa, Chordata, Mammalia, Rodentia, Bathyergidae. The transcript is spliced from 2 exons.